CAGGUUCGUGGAGGAUAAUGAUGUCGGCGACCGUACGGAGGUGGCUGACGCCGUUAAAGUGGUGGAGGAUCAUGCACCAUCUGAGGUGGUGCCAACUGUAAUAGUGGAUAAUUUCCAGGAGCUAGUGCCUUCAAAUCAGUGGCACGAAACUACUCAUUUUGAUGGGCUCAAAAGCUAGAUGCAAUGUAAAUAAAUUAGCAGAAGCAAUGGAUGAUUAAGAGAAAGCUACAGAAGAGAUUGAAUCAUGUGUUACAGUUGAAGAUGUUGCGUCAAUUAGUAUCGACUAAUAGGUUAGAACGAAACUGUAUCUGUUAUGUUGUUGCAUUCUAAUGAUUUGAAGUGUAGAUCUUUGGUUUAAAAUAUCUGUAAUGAUAUCGAUAUUUAUGUUUUAAUGUGAGAUUUUAGACUAAAAUUUAUGAUU
Olea europaea var. sylvestris is the source of this 421-nucleotide long non-coding RNA. RefSeq lists it as uncharacterized. The transcript has 4 exons. NCBI's taxonomy places the organism in Eukaryota, Viridiplantae, Streptophyta, Magnoliopsida, Lamiales, Oleaceae. The record is from RefSeq and is a predicted model, not a curated record.